GCUUACCCUGUGAAGGACUCAUAGUAAGCAAGAUUGGCACAGCCCAAAACGUCAGGUCGAGGUGUAGCGUAUGGAAAGGGAAGAAAUGGGCUACAUUCACUAAUAUAGUGAAACACGAACGAUACACUGAAAUACGUAUCUGAAGGAGGAUUUAGCAGUAAGCAGAAAAUAGAGCGUUCCGCUGAAACUGGCCCUGAAGCGCGCACACACCGCCCGUCACUCUCCCCAAGCUUACUAGCCUUAAAUACCUAAAGCCUUAAAACUGCAAAGGGGAGGCAAGUCGUAACAUGGUAAGUGUACCGGAAGGUGCACUUGGAAAAAU
RNAcentral lists this ribosomal RNA (322 nucleotides) under Lutjanus carponotatus (Spanish flag snapper). RNAcentral's name for it is "partial 12S ribosomal RNA". It matches the Rfam family "Bacterial small subunit ribosomal RNA", at positions 1058 to 1533 of the family's 1533-position model. The record is from RNAcentral. Lineage: Eukaryota; Metazoa; Chordata; Actinopteri; Lutjaniformes; Lutjanidae.